CAGAGUAGAAAUCUGUGCGUGAAGUGUUCUGCGGACGGGGAGUUGCCGCAGAAACGAAAGAGGAAAUCCUCUGCGGUACAGAUUUUGCAUCCCGCUGU
This 98-nucleotide non-coding RNA is filed under the name uncultured Ruminococcus sp. RNAcentral's name for it is "THF riboswitch". It matches the Rfam family "THF (Tetrahydrofolate) riboswitch aptamer". Rfam says of the family: THF riboswitch presents a pseudoknot that joins P1-P2 and the loop of P3 and two THF binding. Lineage: Bacteria; Bacillati; Bacillota; Clostridia; Eubacteriales; Oscillospiraceae. The record is from RNAcentral.